This 292-nucleotide ribosomal RNA is filed under the name uncultured bacterium. RNAcentral describes it as "partial 16S ribosomal RNA". It matches the Rfam family "Bacterial small subunit ribosomal RNA", at positions 505 to 796 of the family's 1533-position model. The record is from RNAcentral.
GUGCCAGCCGCCGCGGUAAUACAGAGGCCCCAAGCGUUAGGCGGAAUCACUGGGCUUAAAGCGUGUGUAGGCGGGUCGUUAAGUACCUUGUGAAAUCCCACGGCUUAACCGUGGAACCGCUUGGUAUACUGGCGGUCUUGAGCCACUUAGGGGCUACCGGAACAGAUGGUGGAGCGGUGAAAUGCGUAGAUAUCAUCUGGAACGCCCAUGGUGAAAACAGGUAGCUGGGAGUGUGCUGACGCUGAGACACGAAAGCCAGGGGAGCGAACGGGAUUAGAUACCCGUGUAGUCC